Arachis ipaensis is the source of this 809-nucleotide non-coding RNA. The record is from RefSeq and is a predicted model, not a curated record. NCBI's taxonomy places the organism in Eukaryota, Viridiplantae, Streptophyta, Magnoliopsida, Fabales, Fabaceae.
CGUCGGGCUUGAGUUGUUUUAUUCGUGGGGAUGGAAUUGAAUUGUGGACAUUUGGAGGCUUGGUGGAGGAUUGGUGCUGAGGUUUUGGUUAUUUUUAAAACUUGUGAGGCUAUGUGUGUAGCUUGAGUUGCUGCCUUGGACCAAACGUGGUGAUCGACCAAGGUAUGGUUUAGGUUUUGCGCAUUUAAUAUAUAAUGUUCUGUAAAAACUUAGGCUAUAUGACCAUAGGAUAAGUUGGAAUGCAGGUGUGUAUUUAAUGUUUAGUAUCUUAAUGAUGGAUAUAUUUGAUUUGGUGCUUACUGGAUAAUUGGUGAUUUAAUGAAUUAUUGUGGUUUGUUGCUUGUUGGUUGGUUGGUUGAUGAUGAUUGAUGGAUUUUUGUUAAUGAAUUGAGGAUAUAAGCAAAUAAAUUUUAAAGUUGUGACUUAUAGUUUGAAUGAUGGAUUUUGAGGAAAUGUAUGAGCAUUAUUGUUGGUAUGAGACAUAAUUGUUAUGGUGGUUGAUAUGUUAAUGAAGAAGUGUUGGAAAGUGCAGGUUUGGUGAUUAUUGACAUAGGAUUUGUCAUGGUUGAAAAUGAGGUUUUAAGAGUUUGCAAAACGUUGGUUUUUGGCCGAACUUCGACGAGGCAUAACUUGGCUUCUGAACCCUCAAUUUGUUUUCAACUUAUUUUAAAUGAAAAUUGGGUUCGUAAAGUUUACGCCGUUCGAAGAACGGAAGAAAAAUGAUUUAAAACGAUUAAGUUAUGCACGUUAGAAGUUUUGGUGUGAAUUAUGUAUUAUGCAGGUGAAUACUACAGGUUUAUGCAGCUUUC